GUGGGGAAUCUUCCGCAAUGGACGAAAGUCUGACGGAGCAACGCCGCGUGAGUGAUGAAGGUCUUCGGAUUGUAAAGCUCUGUUAAUCGGGACGGAAGAGCCUAGUGUGAAUAAUGCUAGGAAGUGACGGUACCGGAAUAGAAAGCCACGGCUAACUACGUGCCAGCAGCCGCGGUAAUACGUAGGUGGCAAGCGUUGUCCGGAAUUAUUGGGCGUAAAGCGCGCGCAGGCGGAUCUGCCAGUCUGUCUUAAAAGUUCGGGGCUUAACCCCGUGAUGGGAUGGAAACUACAGAUCUAGAGUAUCGGAGAGGAAAGUGGAAUUCCUAGUGUAGCGGUGAAAUGCGUAGAUAUUAGGAAGAACACCAGUGGCGAAGGCGACUUUCUGGACGAAAACUGACGCUGAGGCGCGAAAGCCAGGGGAGCGAACGGGAUUAGAAACCCCGGUAGUCC
RNAcentral lists this ribosomal RNA (450 nucleotides) under uncultured bacterium. Its description in RNAcentral is "partial 16S ribosomal RNA". It matches the Rfam family "Bacterial small subunit ribosomal RNA", at positions 354 to 796 of the family's 1533-position model. The record is from RNAcentral.